This is a non-coding RNA of Rattus norvegicus (Norway rat), 6671 nucleotides long. NCBI's taxonomy places the organism in Eukaryota, Metazoa, Chordata, Mammalia, Rodentia, Muridae. The record is from RefSeq and is a predicted model, not a curated record.
CGCAAUCGCUACAGUGAAGCUGUUCACCGGACUUUUUCAGCAAACCGACUGAAUUUCUUAAACUGUGAUCUAAAAAUUGUAAACAUUUGAGCUGCAAAGGGUAGACAUUUCCACUUUAUCACAAGAGAAACAUUUCAAAUGUCACCAGUAGCUUUGGAGAGAGCAUUUUUUUCUCUCACUUGAAAUCAUAAACCUCUCUAGCAUGCACCUUCCGGGAUCGCGUGUGAUGAUCAGUGUCUCACAUGCAUUCGUGGAGCAGCUUCCCACAUUCAGGCUAGUCGCAGGAAACUGCUAACGGCACCCGGCUGUCCUGUGGUGCCCCCCAACGGGUGUCACAGAUAAAUAAACAACACAGUCAGGCGCUAAUCACAGCUCACAGCAUCCCUUCCUGCCUGGAGAAAAUUACAAUAAAGUAGCUCCUCCAACUACUGGCUGAGCAGUCAAACCUUUGCCACUGUCAUCUCUCACUCGUCGGGGCAUCUUCCGAUGGCUUGUCAGAAGGAGCGCUAAAGAAGGAACGUAAACCGAGCUAAGCGGAUGCAGGAAGUUCUGGAGAGAGCAGCCUGGGAAAGACCGCAAAAGAAAACCCUUCUGCACCUGAGCCCCUUAAAACCCAGAUAACCUGGGGGUGUGUGCCACCGGUCAUUGCACCCGGCUGAGAUGGGACCCCGGAUGGCUCCAGGUCCUCUUUGCUGCAAGCCCCCAAAUUGAGUCACCGCCGCUGCAGGGACUUAAGCUAAGGCUCAGGCAGUGGGAGGCCUGAUGCCCCCCACACUAGGAGCUGAGGAGUCAGGCUGCAUAACCUAGAGAGAAGAGUCAGUGCACAGACGCAGAAAUUCCUGAGGGGCGUGGAGAGCGUAGAGGGGGUGAAAGGUGAUGCUGGGGUCCUGGCCCGGGUAGAGAGGGAUGCAGAGUGGCUGAGGGAAGCACUUGGAGGAGGCGCUUAGAUUCUUAGGGUAGGGGGAGCGCUGAGAAAAUCUGCAAGAGCUACUCGCAGCAUCCUCGAGGAGGGGUCGUCGCGGGCGGGGCGCAGGCGGGCCGUGUGCACUGUUGGGACUUAUAGGAGCGUGGAGGUCAGAAAAAGAGUGAUGGGUCCCGCUACCGACUCGUGACGGCGGCUGGGUUCCCAGGGUGUGCAGUGACGCCCCCCCCCAUAUCCCCCGUCCUGGGGAAGCUGUGACCAGCACCCCUGGGAUGUGUACACCGGCAUCGGGGACCACUCUACCUGGAGCAGAGUUGUCAACGUAGAUGUUGGGCAGGGAGGCGCCAACCGAAGUCCAGGUUGCUCCGGAGCAAGAAAGUGUCUGUGUCUGGAAAGCAGGGGAAUUCAGGGCUGUUUGCACCACAGACCCCCAAAGCACAACAGCGUAAAGUGGACGGCCACCAUCCGUCGCUCAGCACAAACUGCUCUCUUCUCUAAUCAAGGUCACCAAGAAGACUGCUGUCUGCUGUACACUCAGAGAUGAGAUUUAACUCCGUGUGAGUGCUGAGUACUGUGAGACAAUGGAGGGAAUCUGUUCUGUGCGUGAAUUUGCAGAGGAGCCCGCAGGUAACUUUGGGAGUUCCUGUAAAAUAUUUUAAAUACGUAUAAUUGCCGCUGCUGCCGCCACCGCCGCCACCACCAUCAUUACCACCAUCAUCACCAUCAUCAUCACUAUCACCGUCAUCACCACCAUCACCAUCAUCAUCACCAUUACCUUAUCACUGUCAUCACCUCUAUCACCAUCAUCACCAUCAGCACCAUCAUCAUCAUGGAAGAAGAUGAGGUGUAGAUCACAGUGCCCCAGCCUCUCCCUGAAACCAGAUAGUGAGGCUGUUGUAUUUCAUCCACAUGUCCCAUACCCUGGGCUUUUGACCCCUGGAUAAUAUGUAGAAGGCUAUGCCAGAGCCCGUGGUAAGUUUCAGAGUGGGUACCAAAGCAGCCUCCUGUCAUGUCAUAGCAUCCUAGACAAAUGACAUUCUUCUUGUGUAAAUGAGUGCUAGUAAUCAAUCCAUCCUGAUCAAGAGAAAAGAGGCCUCACAUCCAGGGACACGGGGCGGAAGAAGCAAGAGGAGGACAUGCUUGCAGACAGCCUGGUGACAGUGUUUGAUCCCGGAUCCACGUUUGCUGUGGAAAAUAUUAUUUGGGGGUUUCUAUCUCAUAUGGACCAUGUGGUUCCCAAAUAAAAGACACAAAAAUCUUUACAUUUACAAUAAGCCUUAAAGCACUAGAGCUGGACAGAUAUCAAUCCUCUAUGCUUUUUGUCUACUUCCCUGACUAUAACCAAGAUAUCAUUUACUGUGUUCUGUCUGGGCAGCUCUUACUCCACCAGGCCGUCUCUCAUGGCUAUGCACUCACUGUCCACCUACCCCAAGGCGACUUCUUUCUUCUUUCUCUCUUCUUCAUGGUCCCUGCCUGAGAUUCCAAGCCCAGGAAGCUUUGCUCUGUCCCUCUCUCUUCUGCCCAUCCCAGGCUGUAGGCAUCUUUAUUAACCAAUCACAGAUAACCUGGGAGCAAGGUUUACACAACAAAAGCUGGUAUGCGUGAGGAUCCCCUUGUCUUGGAGCAACCAGAUCUUGGGGUACAGAGUUUAGCAUUUGGUGCAAGCAGCCCCAGACCAACCUGACACACAUCCACAAAUGGAAGCAAAGAUCUUACUCCUGCAAGUUGUCCUCUAACGUCCACACCCCUAAGGGUAAGCGUCUAUCUCAUAGAUGACAAAGGUGGCUCUGCAUGUGUGAGCCUCAUGUAAGGGCCACACCAGGGUCGGGAUUUGUGUGUAGCAUCCAGUAACCACUGAGUCUAAUGCCUUAUUCUGCAACGCAAUCAUUUAGGGUGAAAAGAAUGCAGAGCUCAGGGAGUUCAGAAUGCUAAACCACAGAAUGUCUGCAGGAAUUGCAGGCAGGGGGUUGGUGCAUUCCUGAGGGUAAGUCUUCCUGACUCAGCAUCCAGCUCCCUCUGCCCAACCCUGCCUGCCCCCUCUUCACAUUGCAGUCUGUGUGAGAGGAUAGCGAGACCCCAAAGCACCUACUUAUCACUUUGUUUAGGAUAAGAACUGUACACUCUCUAGACAGGAGACUAGCUCAGCGGAGACAGAAAAUGGAAAGAUAGCUGCAGAUUGAAUAUCUCUUCUCCCAGACAGUGGGACCAGAAUAGUUUUAGGGGCUUUCUAGGAGGUAGGAUUGGAAUAUUUGCAUAUACAUAGAGACAUCUUGAGGAUGAGACCCAAGUCUAGAUGUGAGACACAUUGCACACAGUCUGCAGGUAACCUGAUAGAAUGUUUUAAGUUACUUUGUCCAUGAAAGCAAGUUUGCCUACUGUGUUGCUCAGCUUUGCAUCAGUGUAACAAGAUGCUUGAGGUAACUUACGGUGAGGAAAGGUUUAUUUAGGACCAGACUUUCAGACCUUGCUCUGGCAAGGAGGACGUGACAAGAAGCUGCUCAAUUUGUGGUAGCUGGGAGGCAAAAGGGGGAGUGGUCGGGGUUCCAAUAUUCUUCUCAAAGGUGUGUCCGCAAGUGGCCCAACUUCCCUCUUACGAGCUUCACCACCUAAACGUGCCACCAUCUCCCCAUCAAGUGAAGAAUGAGGCCUUUAACCUGUGGGUCCCAGGGGACACUCAAGAUACAAACUUUGACAGGCACAAUGUUCACAAAGCACCAGACUUACUGCUAUACAUGGACACUAAAAAGUUUUUGAUUUUGGAUCAUUAUGAGUUUCAGACACCUGCAUUAGAGAUCUUCAGCCUACAUCAGCUCAGUGAUGGAAAGCUUAAGUCAGUCUCUCUGAGGCCAUGUUGAUGUGUACAUUUUUUUUAUUAUUUUUUUAUUUACAUGAGUAUAUUGUCGCUGUCUUCAGACACACCAGAAGAGGGCAUUAGAUCUCAUUACAGAUGGUUGUGAGCCACCAUGUGGUUGCUGGGAAUUGAACUCAGGACCUCUGGAAGAGCAGUCAGUGCUCUUAACCACUGAGCCAUCUCUCCAACGCUGAUGUGUAAAUUUUUAAAAAAUAAUAACCAACAUAAUUUAGUAUAAUAUGGAAACAUUUCAGCAAGAACAUUUUAAGCCAGUUUUGACAAGUGAAAGGGCGUAAAUAAAGGGAUAUGACGUCAUUGUCUGCAAGCUAGUUAUUGAGCAAACAACAAGUGCCUAUAUUGUCUGAGGAGAGUGUCAAGCUGGAGAACAGAACCAAACUAAGACUUUUGAUGAAUGUUGAAUUCUUAAAGCAAAAAAGACUUUUCUUUCCAUAACAGGUGGAUUUUACUUUUAAUUAUGACAUAAACAGAAAAAUACUUGGAAUGAUAUUCCUCCUGGUGUAUAUUUUGGAUCCCAAUAACUGGUUGUGUCCUGGAAGUUUGUUGGCAAGCUUAAAUAUCUUCUUAGAAACCAGUUGCAAUCUGGUAUGUUCUGGGGAUGCUUUGAAGCAGUUUGACCUUAACAUGGUAGGGACAUUCAUUGUCUGAUGUUCCACAGAACACAGACAUUAUUCAUGGUCCCAUUUAUGUUCCUAAUGCCAGGAAUAUAUCAAAACACAUCGCACUUGGAUUCGGCCCAGGGAAUAAGAACUCUUUCCUGAGAAACCCAGCUGAUCUGAGGCCAAAGAAAGAAAACUUGUGAAGUCCUGGGGAGAGGAUUCAGACACACAGGUCUCUUGUAUGGCCACUUAGAGAACUUGUCCCUUGCCUUCCCCAUAGAGAAAUUGAAUCUGUAUUACUGGAAACCACCAGUGGCAAUGUGCCUGCACAGCACAGCCUGGAUGUGAUUUUUAAACAUAAUCAUUUUAUUGAAAGAGGCCUCAUAGGUGUCACCAUGGGAAUGCAGAACAAAUACUACAUUCUAUUGGUUGAAACCAAGGUCAAAAUUGACAAAGCCUUCAGUCAUACUUCUGGGCGUAAAGGGGAGCUGAAGAGAAUGGUAUCCCCAAGAGAGUGAUCUGUUGCCCAGCAUGGGGGCAGGAGACAGUGAGGACUCAGCACCCUGAAGGUCUGGUGCACAGGGGUGUGUAUAAUGAUCACCACCACUUCACUCUCAACUCUUUGCUAUUCUUGGGCUUUCCUGGAGGUGAGAUCAUCGUGUCUGUGCAUUGAACUUAUUCUCCCGGAGUGCAUGGUUGGAACCUCACUCCUUCCAUUGUAUGGUACAGCUAGAUGGGUGGAUCUUUAGCUGGUAUAGAGGCCAUGAGGAUAGACCCCUCUGGAAUGAGUGCUCUGAUUGAAGGGACCAGAGGAAGCCUUUGACCUUUUGCUCUUCCUCAAGAAGCAAUGAGAAGCCACCUUUCUAACCCAGGACCCGAACACGUUGGCAUCUUGUUCUCAGCUACCGGGACCAUGAGAAAGGAUAUUUGGUUGUUUAUAGAUCACGCAGCCUCAGGCAUCUAAAACUUCGUGAAAACCCAUUAUUCCUACGAGAGGAAGGCUCCAGAAAAGAGCACAGAGAAGGGCUGUUAGGUAGCUUAGACGAACACCUAGGAGGCCCCACUCACCCCUGCAAUGAAAUGUGGGUCAUCAGUCUUCCAGCAAGGAUCCACAGUGUGAAACUGUUUACACACAGACGUCAGGAAACCAUUCAAAAGCAACAGAGAAAACCAAUUCCGAGAAGUAAAGCUGACAAAACUACUAGCAUUUGAGAGGGUAUGUGGCCAAGGAGCCAAGGACCUACAACAGGUUUCAAAGAUGGCAGCCGAUGCCCUUCACAGGGAAAGGGCACAUCCUGCUCUGUGUGGAGUCUGAAUGGCUAUUUAUGACACAGAACUGAGAGUGAGAUUCAAGCUCUGGCAGCAGCAUGUCUAGGAGACAGCAAAUGAGGAGCCACGCUGAGAAUCCGUCUGUCUCUAGGGCACUCUGGCUGCCACGGGGAAACACUCGUCAAAGAAGGGGAAUGGCCAAGAGAGAAGUAAAAGUCAGCAAAUGCAAUGAGUCUGGUCAUGAAGAAAAUUCCAGCCAGACCACAAUAUAUUCUCCCUGGCACUGAGCUAGCUGAUGGCAGAGAGCCAACCACCCUUGAGGAAAAGGAAUCGUAGGAAAGAUGAAGGACGUUCCCUGACAGAGGUGAACCUUUUGCUUUGUUACUUCAGUUGUCUCUGAGUUAAACCUGCUCUUUCCCAUGGGCAACAAUGUUUCACAGCAGUGGCGGAUGACCCUGGCUGGCCCUUAGAGCAAUUAGGAGACUUUAAAGAACAGGACUUCAUCAAUACCAAACAACAGAAUGUCUGGCGGAAUGGCAGGCAGGUGUUUUUGAUGGACCUCUGAGGGUGGUUCCAGCAUUCUUCCUUACUCAGCUUCCAGCUCGCUCUGCCACUCACUGCCUACCCCAUCUCUAUGCUAUGAUCUGUAUUAGUGCGAGAGCCUUCUUGCCCCUGAGCUGUGGCCUCCUGCCUAAAUCACACCUUGCUUGUCCAACUCUUUUCUCAAAACUGUGCAUUUUAGAGCACUGUGGACUCUUUAGCAGAACUGACCAGAAGCACAGAGCUAUCCUAUACCUCGCCUUCUUUAAACAGCUUUUCUCAUUGUCCACAUCUUCAACAGACUCUUGAACUUUAUAAGCGCAGAGAAAAUUAGUUGAGCCCAAGUGAGCAUAUACGUAUUUAUUUCUCUGCCCUUGAAUGUAGCUAUACUGUGAUUGGCUGCUUCAACUUCCUAUUUCUUUGACUGCUCCACAAUAAUGGACAAUAAAUUGAAACUGUGAGCUAAAAAACA